Molecule: non-coding RNA, 86 nt
Filed under: unclassified sequences
Description: ivy-DE RNA
Rfam family: ivy-DE RNA
Source: RNAcentral
GAACCAGGGGGUCGGGUUGCUUUGCCUGGCGAAGCGACCUAAGGGCACAGGGAGUGCCCUCGGCAACGGACCGGGUUCGGCAGAGC